RNAcentral lists this transfer RNA (73 nucleotides) under Ovis aries (sheep). It matches the Rfam family "tRNA". From Rfam's summary of the family: Transfer RNA (tRNA) molecules are approximately 80 nucleotides in length. Their secondary structure includes four short double-helical elements and three loops (D, anti-codon, and T loops). The record is from Rfam by way of RNAcentral. Lineage: Eukaryota; Metazoa; Chordata; Mammalia; Artiodactyla; Bovidae.
UCCUUGGUGGUCUAGUGGUAAAGACGCCACUCUUCCACUGCAGGGGGCACAGGUUCAAUCCCUGGUUGGGGAA